This 899-nucleotide ribosomal RNA is filed under the name Pratylenchus speijeri. Its description in RNAcentral is "bacterial SSU rRNA". It matches the Rfam family "Eukaryotic small subunit ribosomal RNA", at positions 30 to 926 of the family's 1831-position model. Lineage: Eukaryota; Metazoa; Nematoda; Chromadorea; Rhabditida; Pratylenchidae. The record is from RNAcentral.
GCUUGUCUCAAAGAUUAAGCCAUGCAUGUAUAAGUAUAAACGCAUUGAAGCGUGAAACCGCGAACGGCUCAUUACAACAGCUAUAAUUUACUUGAUCUUGACAUCCUACAUGGAUAACUGUGGUAAUUCUAGAGCUAAUACAUGCACCAAAGCUCCAACCCGCAAGGGAAGAGCGCAUUUAUUAGAACAAAACCAAGCGGCUUCGGCUGCCCAACGUUGACUCAGAAUAAUUAAGCUGAUCGCAUGGUCUUGUACCGGCGACGUGUCUUUCAAGUAUCUGCCUUAUCAACUUUCGAUGGUACUGUCAUUGACUACCAUGGUGGUGACGGGUAACGGAGGAUCAGGGUUCGACUCCGGAGAAGGGGCCUGAGAAAUGGCCACUACGUCUAAGGAUGGCAGCAGGCGCGCAAAUUACCCACUCUCAGAACAACUAGAGGAGGUAGUGACGAGAAAUAACGAGACUGUUCUCAACAGAGGCCGGUCAUCGGAAUGGGUACAAUUUAAACCCUUUAACGAGUAUCUAUGAGAGGGCAAGUCUGGUGCCAGCAGCCGCGGUAAUUCCAGCUCUCAAAAUGCAUAGAAUUAUUGCUGCGGUUAAAAAGCUCGUAGUUGGAUCUGUGCCAGCAUGCCGGUCCAUCUUCGGAUGCGUACUGGUUCAUUGCCGGCUUUCCUGCAGUUUGUCGGCUCUGUGCCCUUCACUGGGCGCAGUUGUUCGGUGCUGCAAGUUUACUUUGAACAAAUCAGAGUGCCCUAAACAGGCGUUUCGCUUGAAUGUUCGUGCAUGGAAUAAUAGAAGAGGAUUUCGGUUCUAUUUUAUUGGUUUUAUAGAUUGAGAUAAUGGUUAACAGAGACAAACGGGGGCAUUCGUAUUGCUACGUGAGAGGUGAAAUUCUUGGACC